UUGAUUGAAACCAAAAUAGAGGUAUAUUACUGUUAAUAAUAAAAUUGAAUACUAAAUUCCAAUCAAG
Molecule: transfer RNA, 67 nt
Filed under: Malaccina discoidalis
Lineage: Eukaryota; Metazoa; Arthropoda; Insecta; Blattodea; Blattellidae
Description: tRNA-Asn
Source: RNAcentral